RNAcentral lists this transfer RNA (73 nucleotides) under Felis catus (domestic cat). It matches the Rfam family "tRNA". Rfam says of the family: Transfer RNA (tRNA) molecules are approximately 80 nucleotides in length. Their secondary structure includes four short double-helical elements and three loops (D, anti-codon, and T loops). Lineage: Eukaryota; Metazoa; Chordata; Mammalia; Carnivora; Felidae. RNAcentral also lists the same sequence under 3 other names. The record is from Rfam by way of RNAcentral.
GCCUGGCUGGCUCAGUUGGUAGAGCAUGUGACUCUUGAUCUCAGGGUUGUAAGUUCGAGCCCCAUGUUGGGUG